CGUUGCUUUCCUUCUGCUCGUUUGCCUACAAUUCUACUAUUGUCUACCAUCAUUGGUUCCUGACCGUGUACACACUAUAUCUGAUCAUGACGCUGCUAUGGAAGCUUUUAAAGUUAUGUCACCAGAGGAGAAGAUGAACGUUUAUAAAACGAUAUCCCGCAUCAUACAAUUGUAUCGAAUUCAUAAUGACGGAAAAUAUCUGACCAGAGAACACGAAGCAUGCGGGGAUUUCUGUACCACAGUAGCGGCUCCCACUCUUGGAAUCGGUGCUCCGAUGUGUGCUACUGCCUGCGCUUUGUUGAAAGUGAUAAUUGGUUGAGCGUCUUUUGAAAAUAAAAUAUUGAAUAAGU
Molecule: long non-coding RNA, 350 nt
Organism: Saccostrea cuccullata (small rock oyster)
Lineage: Eukaryota; Metazoa; Mollusca; Bivalvia; Ostreida; Ostreidae
Exons: 3
Source: RefSeq, a predicted model, not a curated record